Long non-coding RNA from Marmota monax (woodchuck), 3161 nucleotides. RefSeq lists it as uncharacterized. The transcript has 4 exons. The record is from RefSeq and is a predicted model, not a curated record. Lineage: Eukaryota; Metazoa; Chordata; Mammalia; Rodentia; Sciuridae.
CUGCCAAACUCCACUCCAGGGCAGAGGCACUUCCCCUGGCAACAGAGGCUGAUCCCGUGUCCCCACACGCGGUGGGCAUCUGCUGCUGCCACGUCAGCUGUCCCGGGAGCCGCUAGGCAGCAUUUCCCCGGGUAUUGAUUUCCCGACUCUGAUGGCAUUGACCGCCUUUCCAGAUCACCGUAAGCUGUGACGUCGGAAACCUCGCGCGAUGGAAACGUACGCCUGUUCCCACGCGGGACCCGGGGCCGGGGGAUGUUCUCUCCUGAAGCUUCGCCUGGAUCAGCUGGCUUAGGAAGGUGUUCCCACGCAGAGCAGCCGAGGACGGCUGGAAUCCAGUGGCAAAUGUACUCCUCUCAGGGAGACAGACCGCUGGAGGGAGGGGGGAAGAGGCCAUUCUCCCUGUGCCAAUGGAUUAAAGCCUCGGGCCCUGAGGCUGCUGGCCCAGCUGCGGCUUUGUUCCGCCUUGUUCCGCGGCCCGAUGCCAUCUUACCUGGACCUCAGCCAUGGUCACCCUCCUUGGACAAACAAUGAUUCUCACACGCAAGUGAGAAUCAUGAAACAAAUGUGUUUCCUGGCUACUCAGGGGUUUUUCACUUCUAGAGAUCAAAGGUAGGGAAGAGGGCCCCAUCUUCUGUGUGUUUGAGUUGAUCAGGGGCUCGGCAGCACUUCAGAAAGUCCAGAAAGAUCAAACAUGGGCGUCGACGUCAGCAACUCCUCACUGGCACGCAGUGUCCCCUGAUGGGUGCCUGCUGCCUGCUGAGGCACAGAGGCUUGGGAAACGCAGGCCAGGUAGGUGGCACUCCGCUCUGAGCUGAAGGACCACCCACCGUGGAUUCCCUGUUCCCAUGGGCAAGUGUAGCUGGCCUGGGCUCAGGCCCCAGUAAGGUUCUCAGGCUGCACCCCAUAGUUCAAGCUGACCCUGGAGGGGGGGCCCAGUAACAGUGCUUGCUGAGGCCAAGGGAAGGGGCUUCCAGGGAGAUGGGACAUUGGGGGAGGCAGGGAAGACACUCCUAGAGUGCUCUUGGCCAGGGGGACAGGAGGUCAGGGUGACGUCUAAGUAGGAAAGGACCAAUUCAAAGUCCAAAGAUCAGAGCUCCUGUACCUAGCCCUGGGGCACUGGACCAAGUGCCACAAACGGGUGGCUUCACACAGCAGCAUUGCUCCAGAGGCAGAAAUCCAAAAUCAGGCGGCAGCAGGGCUUGCUCCCCCUGCAGGCUCUGAGGGGGGGACCCUCCCUCCGUUCCUUGGCAGUGGCCCUCCUCUGUUUUUGCAUGGCCAGCUCCUCUGUGUGGGGUCAUCUCUGCUACCUCUCUUAUAAGGACGCAGUGGUAGCCUUCAGGGCCCCCUGGACAGACCCCCUCUCAAGAUCCUUACCUUCGUCACAUCUCUUACUACUGACAAAAUUUAAAAACCGGAGAUGCCUCCAAUUUCAUCACAAGAGCCAAAGGGUGAGGGGCAGGGCCGAGGGACGCUCACCAGUCAGCGCUGCACCAAAGCCACCUAAAGUUGUGGACAUCACAACCUGCACUUUGGAAAGGACAUUGGCCAACAUGGCCUCGUUCUGGCUGGGUGACAACCCUGUGGGCAGGCUGAGCAGGCGGACCGGCUGCCACCCCACCACCCCGGCUGAGAAUGCUCCUGAGGAAGCAAAGCUGAACCGGGUAACAGCCGCCAGCAGAGCUGCCUCGUUCUGGGGGUCCCUUUGCCACUGAGAGGGCAUCCAGGGGCAUUUCCAGGGGUAUUUCCGGGGGUCUCCGGCAGAUGGGAAGGCACUGUGGCCUGAGAGCCACCUUGGCUUCUCUGUGGACUUCUUCCUCUGCUGCAAGCCCUGACCCUCGUGGGGAGGCGUGGCUGGGUGGAGGGUUCUGCCUGCCCAGCUGAGAGCAGGCAGGACCCCCUUGCCUCCUGAGACUGGCCACCCCGGUGAUAGCCGUGCCUCAUGUAACACACUCCCAGGCCUACGGGGCAGACCUCAGAGAGGACCUCACUGUGUCAAGGAAGCAGCCCCCAGUGGGGGGCGAGGCCAGCCUCCGUGCCCGGGUGGCCCUGGCACCUGCAGUGGAGGAGGCUGCUGGCCCACAGCUCGUGGGAUGGGCCUGGAGUGGCUCCCGUGGGCACCCAAGGCUCUCCACAAACUCCCGAAACAGCCCCCAGCUACCAGACUCCACGCCACACAAGCCUCAAAGGGGGGCUCACGGCCCCAGCUCUGCCCCAGGCAGCCCCGGAGGCUAGCGGGUCUGACUCCCAGACGCCAGACGGGCUGCCCGGGACCUUCUUGUCUGUGCUGACCACAGCCUGUCUGAGCAGCCGCAGCCUUCACGGUCUGCGGCUUGUGGGGCGGCUGCCAGCUCCAAAUCACAGAACAAAGAAACCCCGGAGCAGAGGAGCCUCCCACCACCCGGGCUUCCAGAUCCUCCUAGGGUUUCCAAAGAGAGGGCAGGGCCACCCACCCCUCCUCCAGGGAAGGACCCCUGCAAAGAGGAAGCAGACCCAGAAUUCCUCUGAGAAACACAAAACCCCUGUAGGGCCUGACCCCGGCCCUCCCCGAGUUUCCCCUUUUCCUCUGCGGGAGGGGUCAGGACUGGAACUACACUAAAACGGCUGCUGUGGUCAGGAUCUGCGGUGUUCCCCCACGACCCACGACCUCAACCCAUGUGGGAAGGCCUGGUCUGUCCUGCCACAGUCAGGAGGGGGUGGAACGUUUAAGAGGGGGCCUCCUGGGAGGUCUUAGGUCAUGGGGCGCGCCCUUGAAGGGGCUCUGGGACCCUCUUUCUCUCACACCCGUGCUGAGCAGGCUCCCUGGCGCCACAGCAGAGCCCAAACAGCAGAGCGAGUCAGAGGUGGACUGGAACCUCCCGAACUGUGAGCAGAGUGCUUGUUCUGCUCAUUUGCCGUGGCUGUGGGCCGUAAGGGUCUUCAAACACCGACCGAGCAGAUGCUGACCCAUAGCUGCUGGAGGGGCCCAGGCCAGGUUCUGUGGAGAGCAGGCUGUGCUCUGAGUAACUCCGUUCUGUAAAGCAAUGGUUUGCCACGAGCUUUGAGUUUAACUGCCAAGGUGGAAGGACUCCACACCUCGUUUGCACAAGAAAACAGCCACCAUCUGCCCAGCACAAACGUAAGGCAAAGACUGAUAAAUAAAUUAAUCAUGCUGAUAAAAACAA